CAUGGCUCAGAUUGAACGCUAGCGGCAUGCUUAACACAUGCAAGUCGAACGGUAACAGGCCUAGCUUGCUAGGUGCUGACGAGUGGCGGACGGGUGAGUAACGCGUAGGAAUCUACCUCGUAGUGGGGGAUAACCUGGUGAAAACCAGGCUAAUACCGCAUGAGCCCUAAGGGGGAAAGCAGGGGACCGUAAGGCCUUGUGCUAUGAGAUGAGCCUGCGUCAGAUUAGCUAGUUGGUGGGGUAAAGGCCUACCAAGGCGAUGAUCUGUAGCUGGUCUGAGAGGACGACCAGCCACACUGGGACUGAGACACGGCCCAGACUCCUACGGGAGGCAGCAGUGGGGAAUAUUGGACAAUGGGCGCAAGCCUGAUCCAGCAAUGCCGCGUGUGUGAAGAAGGCCUGCGGUUGUAAAGCACUUUCAGUGGGGAGGAAGGCCUCAAUGCUAAUAGUAUUGAGGAUUGACGUUACCACAGAAG
This 476-nucleotide ribosomal RNA is filed under the name uncultured bacterium. RNAcentral describes it as "bacterial SSU rRNA". It matches the Rfam family "Bacterial small subunit ribosomal RNA", at positions 18 to 487 of the family's 1533-position model. The record is from RNAcentral.